Molecule: ribosomal RNA, 584 nt
Filed under: uncultured marine eukaryote
Lineage: Eukaryota
Description: bacterial SSU rRNA
Rfam family: Eukaryotic small subunit ribosomal RNA
Source: RNAcentral
GUUAAAAAGCUCGUAGUUGGAUUUCUGUAGUGGGAUGCCGGCCGGGUUCUCUGAACUUGUAGCUAGGUUAUCUUGCUGCAUCUUGUCGUAAUUCUCACUGGCAUUCAUUUGUUGGUGUAGAGGACCGACUCGUUUACUUUGAGAAAAUUAGAGUGUUUAAAGCAGGCUAUAGCUUUGAAUAUGUUAGCAUGGAAUAAUAAUAUAGGACUUUACGUUCUAUUUUGUUGGUUGUUCGAGGACGUAAGUAAUGAUUGAUAGGGACAGUUGGGGGCAUCAGUAUUCUGAAGCGAGAGGUGAAAUUCUUGGACCUUCGGAAGACUAACAACUGCGAAAGCAUUUGCCUAGGAUGUUCUCUUUAAUCAAGAACGAAGGUUGGGGGAUCGAAGACGAUCAGAUACCGUCGUAGUCUCAACUAUAAACUAUGCCAACUAGGGAUGGGGCAAUGUUUAAUUACGACUUGCUCCGCACCUUAUGAGAAAUCAAAGUAUUUGGGUUCCGGGGGGAGUAUGGUCGCAAGGCUGAAACUUAAAGGAAUUGACGGGAGGGCACCACCAGGAGUGGAGCCUGUGGCUAAUUUUGACUCA